GAUCAUGGCUCAGAUUGAACGCUGGCGGCAUGCCUUACACAUGCAAGUCGAACGGCAGCACGGGAGCUUGCUCCUGGUGGCGAGUGGCGAACGGGUGAGUAAUACAUCGGAACGUACCCUGAAGUGGGGGAUAACGUAGCGAAAGUUACGCUAAUACCGCAUAUUCUGUGAGCAGGAAAGAGGGGGAUCGCAAGACCUCUUGCUUUAGGAGCGGCCGAUGUCGGAUUAGCUAGUUGGUGAGGUAAAGGCUCACCAAGGCGACGAUCAGUAGCGGGGUCUGAGAGGAUGAUCCGCCACACUGGGACUGAGACACGGCCCAGACUCCUACGGGAGGCAGCAGUGGGGAAUUUUGGACAAUGGGCGCAAGCCUGAUCCAGCCAUGCCGCGUGAGUGAAGAAGGCCUUCGGGUUGUAAAGCUCUUUCGGUGGGGAAGAAAUUGCUUCGGUUAAUACCUGGAGUAGAUGACGGUACCCGCAUAAGAAGCACCGGCUAACUACGUG
Molecule: ribosomal RNA, 500 nt
Filed under: uncultured bacterium
Lineage: Bacteria
Description: bacterial SSU rRNA
Rfam family: Bacterial small subunit ribosomal RNA
Source: RNAcentral